Molecule: ribosomal RNA, 443 nt
Filed under: uncultured bacterium
Lineage: Bacteria
Description: partial 16S ribosomal RNA
Rfam family: Bacterial small subunit ribosomal RNA
Source: RNAcentral
CCUACGGGGGGCAGCAGUGGGGAAUAUUGGGCAAUGGGCGCAAGCCUGACCCAGCAACGCCGCGUGAAGGAAGAAGGCUUUCGGGUUGUAAACUUCUUUUCUCAGGGACGAAGAUAGUGACGGUAACUGAGGAAUCAGCCACGGCUAACUACGCGCCAGCAGCCGCGGUAAUACGUAGGUGGCAAGCGUUAUCCGGAUUUACUGGGUGUAAAGGGCGUGUAGGCGGGGAAGGAAGUCAGAUGUGAAAACCAGGGGCUCAACCUGUGACCUGCAUUUGCAACUGUUUGUCUUGAGUGCUGGAGAGGUAGGUGGAAUUCCUGGUGUAGCGGUGAAAUGCGUAGAUAUGAGGAGGAACACCGGUGGCGAAGGCGGUCUGCUGGACCGCAACUGACGCUGAGGCGCGAAAGCGUGGGGAGCAAACAGGAUUAGAUACCCGAGUAGUC